CACCUGAAGAAGGGAGGCAGGAAGCUGACGGGCAGCAACGAUGUGGACGCUGUUCUUUUUCUGGUGUCUGGGCUCUGGAGAGUCCCAGACUCUGACUGAGACUCCGACCGUGUUGGUGAGACCGGGAGCCAUGGCCACGCUGAAUUGUGACAUCGGGACAAAGGAUGGCAAUCGUGUGAACUGGUACAAGCAGACUCCAGGAACAAUUCCACAAUGGAUCCAAAGUUACCAUAAUUCCUGGACUAGCCCACUCUACGUCCCUGGGUUUAACAGUGACUGUUUCAGUCGAAAGUCAACAGCGUUGGCACCGAGUAUCAUUAACAGGAUGGAGAUGAAUGACACUGCCGUCUAUUACUGCGGAAAGUGGGUUUCAUCGACCAGUACUGAAUUAUCACAGUGAGAGAAGAUAAAACAAAAACUAGAGUCAGCCAACAUGACACAUUUCACAGCUUUGUAUCAGAUGGAACAUUCGAAUCUUUAACUCUUCAUGCAGUCACUUUAAUUUUGCCCUUUAUACAGUAUUUUCCAAUGUCAAUCAUGCCAUACUAUAUUUAGAAAGUUUCCAAAUCCCGUUGCCCAUUGUCAAGUGUUUGAUGUCGUUUAAUGUCAGUCUGGUGGUGCGGCUGUGAGUUCACCCCCUCCAGCCCCUCACAGAUUGGGACAGUCGGGAUCUGUGAAGUCUGGUUUCAAGCUGACAUGGGAACGUCUGACAGUGUUUUCUGCCUGAUUACAGAGUAAUGGGUAAUUGCAUGGACUGAACCUUAGAAUUUCACACUGUGUGGGUGUUCGGACCUGGGACAAAGCUCUUUGUUACAGGUAGGUGCCUGGGAAAUAUCUCCUGCAAUAACCCCGGCAUAAACACAGC
Mobula hypostoma (lesser devil ray) is the source of this 865-nucleotide non-coding RNA. NCBI's taxonomy places the organism in Eukaryota, Metazoa, Chordata, Chondrichthyes, Myliobatiformes, Myliobatidae. The record is from the annotation of a RefSeq genome assembly.